Molecule: ribosomal RNA, 468 nt
Filed under: uncultured bacterium
Lineage: Bacteria
Description: partial 16S ribosomal RNA
Rfam family: Bacterial small subunit ribosomal RNA
Source: RNAcentral
GACGAACGCUAGCGGCGUGCUUAACACAUGCAAGUCGGACGGAAAUGGCCUGCUUGUGUGGGGUGCUCGAGGGGCGAACGGGGGAGUAACACGUGAGUAACCUGCCCUUGGCGUUGGGAUAACUUCAGGAAAGUGGGGCUAAUACCGGAUAGUAGCUCCGGCUGCAUGGAGGGGGAUGAAACGUUUCGGCGGUUGGGGAUUGGCUCGCGGUUUAUCAGAUUGUUGGUGGGGUAGUGGCUUACCAAGGCUUUGACGGGGAGCCGGCCUGAGAGGGUGACCGGCCACAUUGGGACUGAGCUACGGCACACACUCCUACGGGAGGCAGCAGUGGGGAAUAGUGCAUAAUGCACGGAAGCCUCAUGCAGCACCGCCGCGCGCUGGAUGACGGCCUUCGGUUUGUAAACCGCAUUCGCCUGUGACGGAGCGUGAGUGACGGUAAUGGGCAAAGAAGCACCGGCUAACUACGUG